Molecule: ribosomal RNA, 274 nt
Filed under: uncultured bacterium
Lineage: Bacteria
Description: partial 16S ribosomal RNA
Rfam family: Bacterial small subunit ribosomal RNA
Source: RNAcentral
AUACGUAGGUCCCGAGCGUUGCGCGGAGUCACUGGGCGUAAAGCGUCCGCAGCCGGCCCCGUAAGCGGGAUGCCAAAGCCCGCCGCUCAACGGCGGAACGGCAUCCCGAACUGCGGGGCUUGAGGCGCGCCCGGGCAGGCGGAAUUCCCGGGGUAGCGGUGAAAUGCGUAGAUCUCGGGAGGAACACCGAAGGGGAAGCCAGCCUGCUGGGGCCGUCCUGACGGUCAGGGACGAAAGCCGGGGGAGCAAACCGGAUUAGAAACCCUGGUAGUCC